This 253-nucleotide ribosomal RNA is filed under the name uncultured bacterium. Its description in RNAcentral is "partial 16S ribosomal RNA". It matches the Rfam family "Bacterial small subunit ribosomal RNA", at positions 524 to 776 of the family's 1533-position model. The record is from RNAcentral.
UACAGAGGUGGCAAGCGUUGUUCGGAAUUACUGGGCGUAAAGGGCGCGUAGGCGGCCCGUCAAGUCCCGUGUGAAAGCCCCCGGCUCAACCGGGGAACGGCGCGGGAAACUAGCAGGCUUGAGUUCGGGAGAGGGAAGCGGAAUUCCGGGUGUAGCGGUGAAAUGCGCAGAUAUCCGGAGGAACACCGGUGGCGAAGGCGGCUUCCUAGACCGACACUGACGCUGAGGCGCGAAAGCUAGGGGAGCAAACGGG